UACGUAGGGUCCGAGCGUUGUCCGGAAUUAUUGGGCGUAAAGGGCUCGUAGGCGGUCUGUCGCGUCUGCUGUGAAAACUCAGGGCUUAACCCUGAGCUUGCAGUGGGUACGGGCAGACUAGAGUGCGGUAGGGGAGACUGGAAUUCCUGGUGUAGCGGUGAAAUGCGCAGAUAUCAGGAGGAACACCGGUAGCGAAGGCGGGUCUCUGGGCCGUAACUGACGCUGAGGAGCGAAAGCAUGGGGAGCGAACAGG
Molecule: ribosomal RNA, 253 nt
Filed under: uncultured bacterium
Lineage: Bacteria
Description: partial 16S ribosomal RNA
Rfam family: Bacterial small subunit ribosomal RNA
Source: RNAcentral